RNAcentral lists this ribosomal RNA (492 nucleotides) under uncultured bacterium. RNAcentral describes it as "partial 16S ribosomal RNA". It matches the Rfam family "Bacterial small subunit ribosomal RNA", at positions 29 to 507 of the family's 1533-position model. The record is from RNAcentral.
AGUGAACGCUGGCGGUAGGCCUAACACAUGCAAGUCGAACGGCAGCACAGUAAGAGCUUGCUCUUACGGGUGGCGAGUGGAGGACGGGUGAGGAAUACAUCGGAACCUACUUUUUCGUGGGGGAUAACGUAGGGAAACUUACGCUAAUACCGCAUACGACCUACGGGUGAAAGCAGGGGAUCUUUGGACCUUGCGCGAUUGAAUGAGCCGAUGUCGGAUUAGCUAGUUGGCGGGGUAAAGGCCCACCAAGGCGACGAUCCGUAGCUGGUCUGAGAGGAUGAUCAGCCACACUGGAACUGAGACACGGUCCAGACUCCUACGGGAGGCAGCAGUGGGGAAUAUUGGACAAUGGGCGCAAGCCUGAUCCAGCCAUACCGCGUGGGUGAAGAAGGCCUUCGGGUUGUAAAGCCCUUUUGUUGGGAAAGAAAAGCAGCAGGUUAAUACCCCGCUGUUCUGACGGUACCCAAAGAAUAAGCACCGGCUAACUUCGUG